RNAcentral lists this ribosomal RNA (327 nucleotides) under Triticum aestivum (bread wheat). RNAcentral's name for it is "partial small subunit ribosomal RNA". Lineage: Eukaryota; Viridiplantae; Streptophyta; Magnoliopsida; Poales; Poaceae. The record is from RNAcentral.
AUGCCAGCGUCGCCGUCCUCUCGGUGGUCCCCGGAGAUCACCAGCGUCUGCUCUAACUCCGAGUCCGAGCCCGAGGAGCCGUCGCCUGUGAUCGGCGGUGGCGGGUUCGUGGUGCAGCUGGUGUCGAGGGACGUCUCGGACGGGCUCCUCGGCAAGUUCGCGGACACCAGCGAGUUCGACUUCGACUACGGGAGGAGCGGGCUCUGGUCGCCGCUGGUGCUGCGGCCCGAGCUCCUGCUCCUCGCGCAGUCGUCGGCGUCCUCCUCGGCCCGGCGCCGGCAGCGGCGGUGGCGGUGGCGGAAGCGGAGGAAGGUGAGCACCGGUUGA